GAUGAACGCUGGCGGCGUGCCUAACACAUGCAAGUCGAGCGGAGAAUUGUUGCUUGCAACCCUUCUUAGCGGCGGACGGGUGAGUAACACGUGGGUAACCUGCCCUAAACAAGGGGAUAACAAUGAGAAAUCAUUGCUAAUACCGUAUAAGCUUACACUAUCGCAUGAUAGAGUAAGAAAAGAUUUAUCGGUUUAGGAGGGGCCCGCGUCUGAUUAGCUAGUUGGAGAGGUAACGGCUCACCAAGGCGACGAUCAGUAGCCGACCUGAGAGGGUGAUCGGCCACAGUGGGACUGAGACACGGCCCAAACUCCUACGGGAGGCAGCAGUGGGGAAUAUUGCACAAUGGAGGAAACUCUGAUGCAGCAACGCCGCGUGAAGGAAGAAGGUUUUCGGAUCGUAAACUUCUAUCUACAGGGAAGAAAAAAAUGACGGUACCUGAGUAAGAAGCCCCGGCUAACUACGUG
Molecule: ribosomal RNA, 465 nt
Filed under: uncultured bacterium
Lineage: Bacteria
Description: partial 16S ribosomal RNA
Rfam family: Bacterial small subunit ribosomal RNA
Source: RNAcentral